RNAcentral lists this ribosomal RNA (594 nucleotides) under uncultured bacterium. RNAcentral describes it as "bacterial SSU rRNA". It matches the Rfam family "Bacterial small subunit ribosomal RNA", at positions 306 to 916 of the family's 1533-position model. The record is from RNAcentral.
CCCCACAAUGGAACUGAAACACGGUCCAUACACCUACGGGUGGCAGCAGUAGGGAAUAUUAGUAAUGGGCGAAAGCCUGAACUAGCAACACCGCGUGUGCGAUGAAGGCCUUCGGGUUGUAAAGCACUUUUCGGGAGGAUGAGGAAGGACGGUACUCCCGGAAUAAGUCUCGGCUAACUACGCGCUAGCAGCCGCGGUAAAACGUAGGAGGCGAACGUUAUCCGGAUUUACUGGGCGUAAAGCGCGUGUAGGUGGUUUGGUAAGUAGGGCGUGAAAGCUCCUGGCUCAACUGGGAGAGGUCGUUCUAAACUGCCGAACUAGAGGAUGGUAGAGGGAGGUGGAAUUCCGGGUGUAGCGGUGGAAUGCGCAGAUAUCCGGAGGAACACCAGUGGCGAAAGCGGCCUCCUGGACCACUCCUGACACUCAGACGCGAAAGCUAGGGUAGCAAACGGGAUUAGAGACCCCGGUAGUCCUAGCCGUAAACGAUGUAGACUUGGCGUCGGUGGUUUAAUAUCCAUCGGUGUCGAAGCUAACGCGAUAAGUCUACCGCCUGGGGACUACGGCCGCAAGGUUAAAACUCAAAGGAAUUGACGG